GACGAACGCUGGCGGCGUGCUUAACACAUGCAAGUCGAACGGAAAGGCCCUGCUUUUGUGGGGUGCUCGAGUGGCGAACGGGUGAGUAACACGUGAGUAACCUGCCCUUGACUUUGGGAUAACUUCAGGAAACUGGGGCUAAUACCGGAUAGGAGCUCCUGCUGCAUGGUGGGGGUUGGAAAGUUUCGGCGGUUGGGGAUGGACUCGCGGCUUAUCAGCUUGUUGGUGGGGUAGUGGCUUACCAAGGCUUUGACGGGUAGCCGGCCUGAGAGGGUAACCGGCCACAUUGGGACUGGGAUACGGCCCAGACUCCUACGGGAGGCAGCAGUGGGGAAUAUUGCACAAUGGGCGGAAGCCUGAUGCAGCAACGCCGCGUGCGGGAUGACGGCCUUCGGGUUGUAUACCGCUUUCGCCUGUGACGAAGCGUGAGUGACGGUAAUGGGUAAAGAAGCACCGGCUAACUACGUG
This 468-nucleotide ribosomal RNA is filed under the name uncultured bacterium. RNAcentral's name for it is "partial 16S ribosomal RNA". It matches the Rfam family "Bacterial small subunit ribosomal RNA", at positions 28 to 507 of the family's 1533-position model. The record is from RNAcentral.